This 696-nucleotide long non-coding RNA is filed under the name Homo sapiens (human). Its description in RNAcentral is "HSALNT0059283". Lineage: Eukaryota; Metazoa; Chordata; Mammalia; Primates; Hominidae. The record is from RNAcentral.
GCAGUUUCCCCUGCGCUUUUUCUCUCUCCUGUGCCUUGUGAAGAAAGUGCCUGCUUCGCCUUCACCUUCGGCCAUGAUUGUAAGUUUCCUGAGGCCUUCUCCGCCUGCAGAGCUUUUACUGAUUAUCAAAGAAGGACUGUGACUAAACUAGAAGGAGAAUUAACACUAUCCAGAGAUGGCUACAGUUCUGAAGGGAAACUUUGAGUCUCCACCUUUCCAAGAGUGGGGCACAGAUGUCGGAGCCAGACUGCCUGGACUCAAAUCUCAGAACCUGCAUUUAUUAGCUGUGUGACUUUGGAUAAUCCUCUCUCCACAACUUGAUAAUGCACAAACUGCAAAUCUUCUGGUACUCACUGCUGCAAGCAAACUUGAAGUCUUUCUGAGCCUGACUCUUCAUUCCUGCCUUGUGUGACCCAGGGAUGGAGGACUGCCCUCCCAACUCAUUAUCCUCUUUGCCCAGGAGCUUGUCCUAGAAACAACCACAUGCUGGAGAAUGGAAUUCCAUAAGGUACUCUCUUAGAUAAAGGAAGUGCCAGCCAUCCUGUUGCCAUCUGCUAAAAUCCUCAGCCCACCUGCAUAGUGAACAGCAUUCAUUGUUUUCCAGAAAUGUGCAAGAACCACAGUCUCCCCCAAGACUGAAGGUAACAUCAGGAAGCAUACUAUGUAAGACAGAUACAAAGGGGAGCUGCUGUAUGG